AUUGAACGCUGGCGGCAGGCCUAACACAUGCAAGUCGAGCGGAUGAAGGGAGCUUGCUCCUGGAUUCAGCGGCGGACGGGUGAGUAAUGCAUAGGAAUCUGCCCGGCAGUGGGGGCUAACGUCCGGUAAGGAGCGCUAAUAUAGCAUACGUCAUGAGGGAGAAAGUGGGGGAUCUUUGGACCACACGCUAUCAGAUGAGCCUAGGUCGGAUUAGCUAGUUGGUGGGGUAAAGGCCUACCAAGGCGACGAUCCGUAACUGGUCUGAGAGGAUGAUCAGUCACACUGGAACUGAGACACGGUCCAGACUCCUACGGGAGGCAGCAGUGGGGAAUAUUGGACAAUGGGCGAAAGCCUGAUCCAGCCAUGCCGCGUGUGUGAAGAAGGUCUUCGGAUUGUAAAGCACUUUAAGUUGGGAAGAAGGGCAGUGAGUGAAUACCUUGCUGUUUUGACGUUACCAACAGAGUAAGCACCGGCUAACUUCGUG
RNAcentral lists this ribosomal RNA (484 nucleotides) under uncultured bacterium. RNAcentral describes it as "partial 16S ribosomal RNA". It matches the Rfam family "Bacterial small subunit ribosomal RNA", at positions 30 to 507 of the family's 1533-position model. The record is from RNAcentral.